GAUCCGAACAAGUCGAGAAAGAAGUAAGUUGUUGCUGAAUAAGAAAAUUAUAUGAUAACACCUUAUAAUUUCUCAAUUUAUGAUUCUACUACUUGGGUAUUAGAUUUCGAAAGUUUUUUUAAUAUUUAUAAUUCGUUGCAGGGUCUGCUGGUCAGUAGGAGAUUUGAAGAAGGUGAAAGGUUCCUUAAUGUUGGAGAUGGAAGACUAAUUUCAGUUCUAGCAUUAGGGACUAUUAAGCUUGUAUUCAAGUCUAAUGUAAUUGUUCUAAGUGAAUAUCACUUUUAUCCU
Molecule: long non-coding RNA, 288 nt
Filed under: Elaeis guineensis (African oil palm)
Lineage: Eukaryota; Viridiplantae; Streptophyta; Magnoliopsida; Arecales; Arecaceae
Description: long non-coding RNA (EGUI_LNC078511)
Source: RNAcentral